Molecule: ribosomal RNA, 258 nt
Filed under: uncultured Staphylococcus sp.
Lineage: Bacteria; Bacillati; Bacillota; Bacilli; Caryophanales; Staphylococcaceae
Description: partial 16S ribosomal RNA
Rfam family: Bacterial small subunit ribosomal RNA
Source: RNAcentral
UACGUAGGUGGCAAGCGUUAUCCGGAAUUAUUGGGCGUAAAGCGCGCGUAGGCGGUUUUUUAAGUCUGAUGUGAGAGCCCACGGCUCAACCGUGGAGGGUCAUUGGAAACUGGAAAACUUGAGUGCAGAAGAGGAAAGUGGAAUUCCAUGUGUAGCGGUGAAAUGCGCAGAGAUAUGGAGGAACACCAGUGGCGAAGGCGACUUUCUGNGUCUGUAACUGACGCUGAUGUGCGAAAGCGUGGGGAUCAAACAGGAUUA